GCAGCUAGGGAGUGGGAGAGGUACUCGUACAUCGAUAGGAAGGGGUAUCAUCCUAUGAUCUAUUGAAGACCACCUGUGGCGCAGGCGGUGUACCAGCACACGUUCGACGGUGAGGGAUGAAAGCUGGGGGAGCAAACCGGAUUAGAUACCCGGGUAGUCCCAGCUGUAAACGAUGCAGACUCGGUGAUGCAUUGGCUUGUGGCCAAUGCAGUGCCGCAGGGAAGCCGUUAAGUCUGCCGCCUGGGAAGUACGUACGCAAGUAUGAACUUAAAGGAUUGGCGGGGGAGCACCACAGGGGUGAAGCCUGCGGUUCAUUG
This 317-nucleotide ribosomal RNA is filed under the name uncultured archaeon. Its description in RNAcentral is "bacterial SSU rRNA". It matches the Rfam family "Archaeal small subunit ribosomal RNA", at positions 588 to 907 of the family's 1478-position model. The record is from RNAcentral.